RNAcentral lists this small RNA (184 nucleotides) under Escherichia coli str. K-12 substr. MG1655. Its description in RNAcentral is "putative small regulatory RNA NarS". Lineage: Bacteria; Pseudomonadati; Pseudomonadota; Gammaproteobacteria; Enterobacterales; Enterobacteriaceae. The record is from RNAcentral.
UCUAAAAAAUAAACCGUUACUCGUCAUACUUCGGGUUACAUGUGCUGCGGCUGCGUUCAUUCACCCCAGUCACUUACUUUAGUAAGCUCCUGGGAUUCAUUCACUUGCCGCCUUCCUGUAAACCGAAUUAUAUAGAGUAAAAUAUUUGAUUAUCCUUUGCGCGGCAUGAUGUCGCGCUUUUUUU